UAAAGAAAGCGUAAUAGCUCACUGGUCGAGUCGGCCUGCGCGGAAGAUGUAACGGGGCUAAACCAUGCACCGAAGCUGCGGCAGCGACACUGUGUGUUGUUGGGUAGGGGAGCGUUCUGUAAGCCUGCGAAGGUGGCCUGUGAGGGUUGCUGGAGGUAUCAGAAGUGCGAAUGCUGACAUAAGUAACGAUAAAGCGGGUGAAAAGCCCGCUCGCCGGAAGACCAA
RNAcentral lists this ribosomal RNA (225 nucleotides) under Salmonella enterica subsp. enterica serovar Derby. Its description in RNAcentral is "partial 23S ribosomal RNA". It matches the Rfam family "Bacterial large subunit ribosomal RNA", at positions 1124 to 1348 of the family's 2925-position model. Lineage: Bacteria; Pseudomonadati; Pseudomonadota; Gammaproteobacteria; Enterobacterales; Enterobacteriaceae. RNAcentral also lists the same sequence under 7 other names. The record is from RNAcentral.